GUCCCUGCUAGGGUGGCUUGGGCCCCUGCCAAAACCUUUCCCUCUUUGCAAUGUUCUAAGCAAUGUGCUGACCCAAAAGAAACCACUCUCUGAUGCCAGCCCACCAGCGGAUCAUGUAACGCUAGCCAGCUCAUCCCCAAUAUAAUGGGAGCUCCUCCCAAGGUGGCCACAUUAAAAGCUAUCAGUUCAGUGUGCCUUGCCACCUUCAUUAUCAUUGGGACGGUCUGCAAGCUGACUUCUCCUCCCAACAGCUCCCUGCCAUCGAUCGUGGUUACCUGCAGGGGGUUGCUUAAAGGAGCGUCUGUAUCUGGUGUUCAGCUGCAAACUCUUUGCUCAUGAAAUUGCAGGAGCUGCCUGAGUCCAACAGCGCCUUUAUCUUUAGAGGGUGUCCGUUUGGGAGCUCUAGUGUCACUUCUAUCACUAGGGCGGGUUUAGGAGGUUCUGGAGUGGGCACUUUCACUGCUCUUUGGCCUGGCUGCUGUGCCCCGACAAUGGCAGCCAGGCGUUGGCUUUUAGUUGCUCCGGUAUUUUUCCUCUCUUCCCUCCACAGCUCCCACCAUCCCUUGCCAUUCCUUCCUCUGGGGGCAGACUCUGGCAAAGUGCCCUGGCUGUUGGCAGAGAUAGCAUUUCCGGGCGCCUUUUCCAUCCUUCUUUCCCCCCUCACUGGGCUUUGAAACUGCGCGCGCGCGCGCUGUUCCGAUUUCCAUCGGCUCUGCCGGCGGGACAGUUGGCUCUGGAAUUUCUGGAAUGCGGAACUCCUUCCAACGUUCCCCUUUCCCUUCCCGCCUCUCCAAUGCUCUCGCCUCCUGGCGCGCUCCUAUGGCCAGCGCUGAUUUGGUCAGCUGGUCCAUAGACUCCGCCCUGGGCGCCCGGGAAAGUUCAUCUUUCACAGCCGAAGAAAGCCCUUCUUCAAAGAGCAUUUGAAUGGGUUCCGCCGAUAAGUCCCACCCCAAUCUGUGUAUCAGCAUGGUGAACUCAGUCCAGUACUCACGUACAGAUCGGCUCCCCUGUUUGCAAGCCAUUAACUGUCUGCGCACCACUCCCUUUUCAAUAUCGCUGGAAAACAUCAGAUCCAUGGCGCGAAAGAACUUCAUCGUGUCCUUUAAGACGUCACUAUUAGCUGCCAUCAGGGGUCUAACCCAGUCUCUCGCCCCCUUUUCAAGAUGCCCAAUCACAAAAGCCACUCGUGAUUCCUCAUCAGGAAAUCAUCAAACUGCAGAUUGAGGGCAUAUUGCAUUUCUGUCCGAAAGCUAUGAUAGUCUUUGGGCUCCCCCCCAAAUUUUUGCACCAAUCCUGGUACCUUUCUGGCGAGCUGGGUGGCUUUCUCCCUUUGUCUGCAUCUUGAGCCCUCCUCUCCUCCAGCCUCGCCGUCUGCAGCGCCAGCUGGACCUCCAACACUCGGUACCUUUCUUCCAGGCUUGGACCCGCUCCAGCCCCUGCUUCUCCGGUUCCUGCUGGGUUGCUCAUUAUGCCUUCUCCUGCACAAGCUGCGUUCAAAGACUGUCGGAAUGCUGUGAUGGGAUUAUGAGCUGCUUGUGCGUAAAAUCGUAUUCCCUCAGAGUUUGUUCAAGUCCACAAACCUCUGUCUGUGACUGAGCCCCUCUGACAUGGCUCCUCUUAGUCACUAGAAGAUUCCGACAGUGGUUGCUUUCGUAAUCGCUUCCAACAUAAAAGCUCCUUAACGGAAACACGUCUUCUGGACUCUCUGCGUGACAGUUUCCGGCGAGGAGUGGGUGUCGCUACAGGAGGUCCGGAAACCUCACCACUGUUUUCGCUGGAAGUAUCUCUGAGCCAUCCCCCCAGCUCCCUUUCCCUCAGUUCAGCUUCUCUCCCCCUGCUGGUUUCCUCUUCAGCUGCUAAGUCUCUUCCAACCUGUCUGAGCCCUUUCACCUCCCUCAGUUCAGCUUCUCUCCCCCUGCUGGUUUCCUCUUCAGCUGCUAAGUCUCUUCCAACCUGUCUGAGUCCUUUCACCUCCCUUCCUACCGAUGGCAGUUCCCUGACA
Non-coding RNA from Podarcis lilfordi (Lilford's wall lizard), 2002 nucleotides. The record is from the annotation of a GenBank genome assembly. Lineage: Eukaryota; Metazoa; Chordata; Lepidosauria; Squamata; Lacertidae.